CCUACGUGUGGCAGCAGUGGGGAAUAUUGGGCAAUGGGCGCAAGCCUGACCCAGCAACGCCGCGUGAAGGAAGAAGGCUUUCGGGUUGUAAACUUCUUUUCUCAGGGACGAAGAAAGUGACGGUACCUGAGGACUAAGCCACGGCUAACUACGUGCCAGCAGCCGCGGUAAUACGUAGGUGGCAAGCGUUAUCCGGAUUUAUUGGGUGUAAAGGGCGUGUAGGCGGGAGCGGAAGUCAGAUGUGAAAACUCAGGGCUCAACCCUGGGCCUGCAUUUGAAACUGUGGUUCUUGAGUGCGGGAGAGGCAAUCGGAAUUCCGUGUGUAGCGGUGAAAUGCGUAGAUAUACGGAGGAACACCAGUGGCGAAGGCGGAUUGCUGGACAGUAACUGACGCUGAGGCGCGAAAGCGUGGGGAGCAAACAGGAUUAGAUACCCCUGUAGUC
Molecule: ribosomal RNA, 443 nt
Filed under: uncultured bacterium
Lineage: Bacteria
Description: partial 16S ribosomal RNA
Rfam family: Bacterial small subunit ribosomal RNA
Source: RNAcentral